GGGCGUGUAGCUCAGGCGGUAGAGCACUUGACUUUUAAUCAAGUUGUCCGGGGUUCGAAUCCCCGCACGCUCA
This 73-nucleotide transfer RNA is filed under the name Lachnospiraceae bacterium MD308. Its description in RNAcentral is "tRNA-Lys". It matches the Rfam family "tRNA". Rfam says of the family: Transfer RNA (tRNA) molecules are approximately 80 nucleotides in length. Their secondary structure includes four short double-helical elements and three loops (D, anti-codon, and T loops). Lineage: Bacteria; Bacillati; Bacillota; Clostridia; Lachnospirales; Lachnospiraceae. RNAcentral also lists the same sequence under 15 other names. The record is from RNAcentral.